This 466-nucleotide ribosomal RNA is filed under the name uncultured Desulfomicrobium sp. RNAcentral describes it as "bacterial SSU rRNA". It matches the Rfam family "Bacterial small subunit ribosomal RNA", at positions 338 to 795 of the family's 1533-position model. Lineage: Bacteria; Pseudomonadati; Thermodesulfobacteriota; Desulfovibrionia; Desulfovibrionales; Desulfomicrobiaceae. The record is from RNAcentral.
CCUACGGGCGGCUGCAGUAGGGAAUAUUGCGCAAUGGACGGAAGUCUGACGCAGCGACGCCGCGUGAGCGAUGAAGGUCUUCGGAUCGUAAAGCUCUGUCCUUGGGGAAGAAGGGGCAUUGGUCUAAUAGGCCUUUGUUUUGACGGUACCUUUAGAGGAAGCACCGGCUAACUCCGUGCCAGCAGCCGCGGUAAUACGGAGGGUGCAAGCGUUAUUCGGAAUUACUGGGCGUAAAGCGCACGUAGGCCGCUUUGUAAGUCAGGGGUGAAAUCCCACGGCUCAACCGUGGAACUGCCUUUGAAACUGCAGAGCUUGAAUCCUGGAGAGGGUGGCGGAAUUCCUGGUGUAGGAGUGAAAUCCGUAGAUAUCAGGAGGAACACCGGUGGCGAAGGCGGCCACCUGGACAGGUAUUGACGCUGAGGUGCGAAAGUGUGGGGAGCAAACAGGAUUAGAUACCCGAGUAGUC